UCUUCUUGCUGACAAACACAUUUUACCC
RNAcentral lists this non-coding RNA (28 nucleotides) under Mus musculus (house mouse). The record is from RNAcentral. Lineage: Eukaryota; Metazoa; Chordata; Mammalia; Rodentia; Muridae.